UACGUAGGGACCGAGCGUUGUCCGGAUUCAUUGGGCGUAAAGGGCUCGUAGGUGGCCAACUAAGUCAGACGUGAAAUCCCUCGGCUUAACCGGGGAACUGCGUCUGAUACUGGUUGGCUUGAGUUUGGGAGAGGGAUGCGGAAUUCCAGGUGUAGCGGUGAAAUGCGUAGAUAUCUGGAGGAACACCGGUGGCGAAGGCGGCAUCCUGGACCAAUACUGACGCUGAGGAGCGAAAGCCAGGGGAGCAAACGGG
RNAcentral lists this ribosomal RNA (253 nucleotides) under uncultured bacterium. RNAcentral's name for it is "partial 16S ribosomal RNA". It matches the Rfam family "Bacterial small subunit ribosomal RNA", at positions 524 to 776 of the family's 1533-position model. The record is from RNAcentral.